Drosophila pseudoobscura is the source of this 873-nucleotide long non-coding RNA. RefSeq lists it as uncharacterized. The transcript is spliced from 2 exons. The record is from RefSeq and is a predicted model, not a curated record. Lineage: Eukaryota; Metazoa; Arthropoda; Insecta; Diptera; Drosophilidae.
UCCGUGCUUCGCCGCCUUCGGGAGAUUUGUGUCGGACGAUAAGACCGGACUGGAGAGGAGCGCAAUCACACCUGUCUGCACAGUCGCACAAAGUGUUUCCACAUCUGCAUGGCCAGCGGGGUAUGACACGCAGUAUUCACGACGUAUGCUCGUGCCAGAUUCUGAUGCUCUGAUGCUACUGGAGGGCAAGGAGAACUACGGCGUCUAUCCGGACAGAUAAUUUUAAGUGGCGGGAGUAGUGACAUAAAGAACGACUGUAUAUCCACCUUCUGGCGCUGUGACGAAAGGACUGCCCGGCGGAUCAGUUCAGCUGGCAGUCAACCGAGGGCAGAGACAAGACUCUGAUCUGCGAUGGUACCACCAGUGACAGCUGUGACAAUGUCCACGAUGAGGCCGACUGCUGCAAGCGACCUGAGAGUUUCAGUGUCCCAUCAACCAGCUUUGCAUCGGCCGCCCUGCUCUGCGAUGGCCGUGCCUCGGAUAUUUUCGCGCACCGAACCAAAAAUCGAGCUUUAAUGGCUCCAUCGAAGAAAUUAAGUAACUAGACUUAAGACCGCUAGACCGCUUAGAAAUUAAAGACUUUAAAAAUGCAAUAGAGAACCUGCCGGCUAUGCCAUAUGAGGUGCAACGCGACCAAGCUGCGGAUGAAGAUGGAGCGAAAGACUAUGGAUGAGUAUGCCAGGCUACUACUACCACAAUGCCUUCUACAAGGACCCAAGGUCCGAAGGCGACACUAGCCACUGUACAUCUUACCAUUAAUAUUGUCUUUGGUAUUGGAGAGUAGCGGCACGUGUUCCGCCGUUCCCGUACGAUUGGUUUUUAUUUAAUAAUGGUUUCCUUAUUUUUUUCGUUAAUAAAUUGAAUUGUAGGUCA